GUGCAGCAGGCGAGAAUUUUUCUCAAUGGGGGAAACCCUGAAGGAGCGACGCCGCGUGGAGGAUGAAGGCUUUCGGGUUGUAAACUCCUGUCAUUUGAGAACAAGUGGCCGAACGUAACUACUUCGGCCUUGAUAGUAUCAGAAGAGGAAGGGACGGCUAACUCUGUGCCAGCAGCCGCGGUAAUACAGAGGUCUCAAGCGUUGUUCGGAUUCAUUGGGCGUAAAGGGUGCGUAGGUGGCGCCGUAAGUCGGGUGUGAAAUUUCGGAGCUUAACUCCGAAACUGCAUUCGAUACUGCGGUGCUUGAGGACUGGAGAGGAGACUGGAAUUUACGGUGUAGCAGUGAAAUGCGUAGAGAUCGUAAGGAAGACCAGUGGCGAAGGCGGGUCUCUGGACAGUUCCUGACACUGAGGCACGAAGGCCAGGGGAGCAAACGGGAUUAGAUACCCCCGUA
This 453-nucleotide ribosomal RNA is filed under the name uncultured organism. Its description in RNAcentral is "bacterial SSU rRNA". It matches the Rfam family "Bacterial small subunit ribosomal RNA", at positions 346 to 792 of the family's 1533-position model. The record is from RNAcentral.